Molecule: unclassified non-coding RNA, 514 nt
Filed under: Hevea brasiliensis (rubber tree)
Lineage: Eukaryota; Viridiplantae; Streptophyta; Magnoliopsida; Malpighiales; Euphorbiaceae
Source: RNAcentral
AAACUCUUUCAAAUUUCACUCUCCCAAAAACAGAAAAGGAGAUGAAGAAUUUACAUCCUUAUUUGUAUGAGAAUAAAGGAGAGAGGGUGAAAUGGAUAAUGGCAUUAAUGUAUAGACAAAGGGGAUAAUGGUUCGAAACCUGUUGUGCUUUUUUCAAUUUUUUGACAAAACCUUUUAAUUUUGGCAAUUUCAGAAUUCAAAAAGACAAACAAAAUUUAAAAAAUAAUUAAAAGUUUUAUAUCUGAUUAGAAUAUAAAUUUUUUUCCUUUCUCCAAAAAACCUCUCUAUCUCCACAACAACACCCGCUGCCACCAAUCUAGGCAGAGUAUCAGCACAUGGACAAGAUGGACAGUGUUCACUAGUGAGAGGGAAGUUUAAUGGUGUGGUAUGCAUCCUCAACUGACAUUAAUAGUGACAAGCAAUAAAUGAAUUUUCCAAAAGUGAGUGCAGAGGUGGAAGAAGAGAGGAAGGGCAGGUUGGGAUGAGAUAAAGAGGGAGGAGGACAGGAAAAGUG